The sequence is a ribosomal RNA, 537 nucleotides long. It matches the Rfam family "Bacterial small subunit ribosomal RNA", at positions 371 to 918 of the family's 1533-position model.
AUGGGCGCAAGCCUGAUGCAGCGACGCCGCGUGAGGGAUGACGGCCUUCGGGUUGUAAACCUCUUUCGCCAGGGACGAAGCGCAAGUGACGGUACCUGGAGAAGAAGGACCGGCCAACUACGUGCCAGCAGCCGCGGUAAUACGUAGGGUCCGAGCGUUGUCCGGAAUUACUGGGCGUAAAGAGCUCGUAGGUGGUUUGUCGCGUUGUUCGUGAAAACUCACAGCUCAACUGUGGGCGUGCGGGCGAUACGGGCAGACUGGAGUACUGCAGGGGAGACUGGAAUUCCUGGUGUAGCGGUGGAAUGCGCAGAUAUCAGGAGGAACACCGGUGGCGAAGGCGGGUCUCUGGGCAGUAACUGACGCUGAGGAGCGAAAGCGUGGGGAGCGAACAGGAUUAGAUACCCUGGUAGUCCACGCCGUAAACGGUGGGUACUAGGUGUGGGUUUCCUUCCUUGGGAUCCGUGCCGUAGCUAACGCAUUAAGUACCCCGCCUGGGGAGUACGGCCGCAAGGCUAAAACUCAAAGAAAUUGACGGGG